RNAcentral lists this ribosomal RNA (305 nucleotides) under uncultured bacterium. RNAcentral describes it as "bacterial SSU rRNA". It matches the Rfam family "Bacterial small subunit ribosomal RNA", at positions 334 to 656 of the family's 1533-position model. The record is from RNAcentral.
AUUGCCUACGGGACGCAGCAGUAGGGAAUAUUGCUCAAUGGGGUAAACCCUUAAGCAUCAACUCCUCUUUUAGUAUGAAGGUUUUCGGAUUGUAAACUCCUUUUGUUAGAGAAGAUAAUGACGGUAUCUAACGAAUAAGCACCGGCUAACUCCGUGCCAGCAGCCGCGGUAAUACGGAGGGUGCAAGCGUUACUCGGAAUCACUGGGCGUAAAGAGCGCGUAGGCGGGAUAGCAAGUCAGAUGUGAAAUCCUAUGGCUUAACCAUAGAACUGCAUUUGAAACUGUUAUUCUAGAGUAUGGGAGAG